This 497-nucleotide ribosomal RNA is filed under the name uncultured bacterium. RNAcentral describes it as "partial 16S ribosomal RNA". It matches the Rfam family "Bacterial small subunit ribosomal RNA", at positions 28 to 507 of the family's 1533-position model. The record is from RNAcentral.
GAUGAACGCUGGCGGCGUGCCUAAUACAUGCAAGUCGAGCGAACAGACGAGGAGCUUGCUCCUCUGACGUUAGCGGCGGACGGGUGAGUAACACGUGGAUAACCUACCUAUAAGACUGGGAGAACUUCGGGAAACCGGAGCUAAUACCGGAUAAUAUAUUGAACCGCAUGGUUCAAUAGUGAAAGACGGUUUUGCUGACACUUAUAGAUGGAUCCGCGCCGCAUUAGCUAGUUGGUAAGGUAACGGCUUACCAAGGCAACGAUGCGUAGCCGACCUGAGAGGGUGAUCGGCCACACUGGAACUGAGACACGGUCCAGACUCCUACGGGAGGCAGCAGUGGGGAAUCUUCCGCAAUGGGCGAAAGCCUGACGGAGCAACGCCGCGUGGGUGAUGAAGGUCUUCGGAUCGUAAAGCUCUGUUAUUAGGGAAGAACAAAUGUGUAAGUAACUAUGCACGUCUUGACGGUACCUAAUCAGAAAGCCACGGCUAACUACGUG